Molecule: transfer RNA, 73 nt
Filed under: Perca flavescens (yellow perch)
Lineage: Eukaryota; Metazoa; Chordata; Actinopteri; Perciformes; Percidae
Description: tRNA-Gln
Rfam family: tRNA
About the family: Transfer RNA (tRNA) molecules are approximately 80 nucleotides in length. Their secondary structure includes four short double-helical elements and three loops (D, anti-codon, and T loops).
Source: RNAcentral
GUGGUGAUGGUGCAGUGGAUAUCACACAUACCUUUGGUGUGGGAGAUGUGGGUUCAAUUCCCACUGCGCUACA